AUUGAACGCUGGCGGCAUGCUUUACACAUGCAAGUCGAACGGUAACAGGCCUUCGGGUGCUGACGAGUGGCGAACGGGUGAGUAAUGCAUCGGAACGUACCCAGAGGUGGGGGAUAACGCAGCGAAAGCUGUGCUAAUACCGCAUGUGAUCUGAGGAUGAAAGCGGGGGACCGAGCAGCAAUGUUUGGCCUCGCGCCUUUGGAGCGGCCGAUGUCGGAUUAGCUAGUUGGUGGGGUAAAGGCCUACCAAGGCGACGAUCCGUAGCUGGUCUGAGAGGACGAACAGCCAAACUAGGACUGAGACACGGCCCAGACUCCUACGGGAGGCAGCAGUGGGGAAUUUUGGACAAUGGGCGCAAGCCUGAUCCAGCAAUGCCGCGUGCGGGAAGAAGGCCUUCGGGUUGUAAACCGCUUUUGGCAGGAACGAAACGGUGUCCGCUAAUACCGGGCGCUAAUGACGGUAGCUGGAGAAUAAGCACGGGCUAACUACGUG
Molecule: ribosomal RNA, 492 nt
Filed under: uncultured bacterium
Lineage: Bacteria
Description: partial 16S ribosomal RNA
Rfam family: Bacterial small subunit ribosomal RNA
Source: RNAcentral